Molecule: ribosomal RNA, 445 nt
Filed under: uncultured bacterium
Lineage: Bacteria
Description: partial 16S ribosomal RNA
Rfam family: Bacterial small subunit ribosomal RNA
Source: RNAcentral
GUGAGGAAUAUUGCGCAAUGGAGGCAACUCUGACGCAGCCAUGCCGCGUGCAGGAAGAAGGCGCUACGCGUUGUAAACUGCUUUUAACCGGGAAGAAACCCCAGGACGUGUCCUGGGUUGACGGUACCGGAGGAAUAAGCACCGGCUAACUUCGUGCCAGCAGCCGCGGUAAUACGAAGGGUGCAAGCGUUAUCCGGAUUCAUUGGGUUUAAAGGGUGCGUAGGCGGAGCGUUAAGUCAGUGGUGAAAUCCUGCAGCUUAACUGUAGACGUGCCAUUGAUACUGGCGCUCUUGAGUGCGCUUGAAGUGGGAGUAAUGUGCCGUGUAGCGGUGAAAUGCUUAGAUAUGGCACAGAACACCAAUUGCGAAGGCAGCUCACUAAGGCGAUACUGACGCUGAGGCACGAAAGCGUGGGGAUCGAACAGGAUUAGAAACCCGGGUAGUCC